This is a long non-coding RNA of Micropterus dolomieu (smallmouth bass), 1054 nucleotides long. RefSeq lists it as uncharacterized. The record is from RefSeq and is a predicted model, not a curated record. Lineage: Eukaryota; Metazoa; Chordata; Actinopteri; Centrarchiformes; Centrarchidae. The transcript is spliced from 3 exons.
AGAGGGUGGAGCUAGCUGGUUUGGUUAGCAAGAUGCAUCUGUAAUUCACGUUAACUGUGAUAUUAGCUGGGAUGCUAAUUUUGGCUAGUAACAAAACGUAUUUACUGAUAAAUGAACAGCCGACAUCUAAUAAGCUUUUUCAGCGGCGCAGGUUAAACGUACACCGAGCAGCGGAUACGAGUCGCCUCUAUCCUCAUUGACAGCAUGGACAGCGGCCGAUUGGGAGAUUUUCGCUGCCAGGCAGAGGAGGAGGCUGUGUUAGCGAGUGGCAAAGCUGAGUGUGAGACAGGAUCAGUUGGUCUCCUGGUUUUGUCCUCGUCUCCCAGACUGAUGUUCCCCCCAGAGGAGGCUCUAUUCUGGGUCACACUGCUCUCUGUCACCCCCCUCUCUGGACCGUCUUCUACCUCUGAUUUGUUGAUCCCGUCUUGUCCCUUCAAGGACAGCUGAUCGGUCGUCAUCUCCGAGCCGGGCCCUCCCCUCUCCUCCUGGCUUCCCUCCGAAUACUCCACAUCCAGCACACCGGGUUCUGAGAAGUCCCGGCGGGGCCCGUCGAACAGGGCGAGGUCCUUCAGGGCCUCCAGGUCCCCAGGGGCCUCAGAGGACUGCGAGAGUGGCUUCCAGCGUCCGCCGUAUGGCUCUCCUCUCACCAAAGACUGCAGCACCAGCGUCUGUGGUGAUGCUCUCCGCAGGAAGGCGAGGACCGAGUCGGCCCCGGGUCGCUCUCGGGGCAGGCAGUUCUCCCUCUGCUGGCAGCUCAGGAUGUAGCAGCGGCCCUCGAACAGCCAGGCCAGGUCGUACCCCGGCAGGUCGCAGCAUGCUGCCACGCACUGUGGCAAGGACGCCACUCCGGGUACCCGCAGAAUGCCACCGCUCUCUACCGUUGGAGACACCACUGCCUCGGAGAAAGUCGCCCCCUGCCAGCACUGAGACGCCACUACAGCUGAAACACAACACUUUGUUUAUUUUGGAGAAAUAAGACCUUUUGUUUUUGUUGUAAAACCCUUGCGGAAAUUAUUUUGGGCUGUAAAUAAAAUCAACAGACAUAGAAUUUGAA